Long non-coding RNA from Helianthus annuus (common sunflower), 672 nucleotides. RefSeq lists it as uncharacterized. The record is from RefSeq and is a predicted model, not a curated record. Lineage: Eukaryota; Viridiplantae; Streptophyta; Magnoliopsida; Asterales; Asteraceae. The transcript is spliced from 4 exons.
GAAUGGUCAAAAUCCAAAUAUUUAGAGUAACUAUCAAAAACCUUGGUUACUUUCACAAGGCUUCACCCAUCCAAGACUCCUAUAAAUACUGAACUCCAAUCCACAUAUCACACUCUAAGAGAACCCAACAAACACACCCAUCUCUCUUGGUUCUGCACACCCAACCGAAACCAUCCAAAAUCCCAGCCAACCCAAGUGAUUCCGAGUUGUUCUAGUGUGGUAAUCUUCAGCCAUCAAACUAGUUCAUCACCGAGCAUCGUCACAGGUUCCGUUCGACACCGUUCUCACUACCUUGGUGUCUAGUUCGAGCCAACAUUAGCCUAGUUCACGGUCCGCAAGAAGCAAGUCUCAAAUUCCCCGGAAAGCGAGUUCGAGUUCUUCAUCAUCUCGUCUUUCGAACGCAUCCUCGCUUGCUCUUGUCGGGAAUUGUUUUGGACGUUUGAUUUUGCUAGCGUACACUUCGGAACGCAAAACAGUAACUAAAGGUGGAUGUGCGCGCAGUCUUACUCAUGCUUAUGGAUGUCGUUUAUGUUCUGCUUAAAUAAAGUUGUAAACUUUUAAGACAAUGUUUUAUGCUAUCGUCGCGAUGUAGACGCUAAACUUGUGUUUUCAAAUUAUGAAUGGUUGGUAUUUGAAGUUAUUUUUAUGAGCAUGUAGUAUGUUUACUCUUCG